This 468-nucleotide ribosomal RNA is filed under the name uncultured bacterium. RNAcentral describes it as "partial 16S ribosomal RNA". It matches the Rfam family "Bacterial small subunit ribosomal RNA", at positions 28 to 507 of the family's 1533-position model. The record is from RNAcentral.
GACGAACGCUGGCGGCGUGCUUAACACAUGCAAGUCGAACGGAAAGGCCCUGCUUUUGUGGGGUGCUCGAGUGGCGAACGGGUGAGUAACACGUGAGUAACCUGCCCUUGACUUUGGGAUAACUUCAGGAAACUGGGGCUAAUACCGGAUAGGAGCUCCUGCUGCAUGGUGGGGGUUGGAAAGUUUCGGCGGAUGGGGAUGGACUCGCGGCUUAUCAGCUUGUUGGUGGGGUAGUGGCUUACCAAGGCUUUGACGGGUAGCCGGCCUGAGAGGGUGACCGGCCACAUUGGGACUGAGAUACGGCCCAGACGCCUACGGGAGGCAGCAGGGGGGAAUAUUGUACAAUGGGCGGAAGCCUGAUGCAGCAACGCCGCGUGCGGGAUGACGUCCUUCGGGUUGUAAACCGCUUUCACCUGUGACGAAGCGGGAGUGACGGUAAUGGGUAAAGAAGCACCGGCUAACUACGUG